CCUACGGGAGGCAGCAGUGAGGAAUAUUGGACAAUGGGCGCAAGCCUGAUCCAGCCAUGCCGCGUGCAGGAUGACGGUCCUAUGGAUUGUAAACUGCUUUUAUACGAGAAGAAACACUGCUUCGUGAAGCAGCUUGACGGUAUCGUAAGAAUAAGGAUCGGCUAACUCCGUGCCAGCAGCCGCGGUAAUACGGAGGAUCCAAGCGUUAUCCGGAAUCAUUGGGUUUAAAGGGUCCGUAGGCGGUUUAAUAAGUCAGUGGUGAAAGCCCAUCGCUCAACGGUGGAACGGCCAUUGAUACUGUUAGACUUGAAUUAUUAGGAAGUAACUAGAAUAUGUAGUGUAGCGGUGAAAUGCUUAGAGAUUACAUGGAAUACCAAUUGCGAAGGCAGGUUACUACUAAUGGAUUGACGCUGAUGGACGAAAGCGUGGGUAGCGAACAGGAUUAGAUACCCUGGUAGUCCACGCCGUAAACGAUGGAUACUAGCUGUUGGGUGCAAACUCAGUGGCUAAGCGAAAGUGAUAAGUAUCCCACCUGGGGAGUACGUUCGCAAGAAUUGAAACUUCAAAGGAUUGACGGGCUUGAGUUGNGACGAGGCACAGGAGGUUAGG
Molecule: ribosomal RNA, 609 nt
Filed under: uncultured bacterium
Lineage: Bacteria
Description: bacterial SSU rRNA
Rfam family: Bacterial small subunit ribosomal RNA
Source: RNAcentral